CGUUUUCUUUCUCCUCUGCGAGCUUCCAAGAUGACAAAGAAAAAAAGGAACAACGAUCGUGCCAAAAAGGGCCGCGGCCAUGUUCAGCCUGUUCACUGCACGAACUGUGCCGGAUGCAUGCCCAAGGACAAGGCCAUUAAGAAAUUCAUCAUUUGAAACAUAGUGGAGGCCGCAGCAGUCAGGGAUAUUUCUGAAGCGAGCGUCUUUGAUGCCUAUGUACUUCCCAAGCUCUAUGUGAAGCUACAUUACUGUGUGAGUUGUGCAAUUCACAGCAAAGUAGUCAGGAAUCGAACUCGUGAAGCCCGCAAGGACCGAACACCCCCACCCUGAUUUAGACCUGCAGGUGCUGCCCCACGACCCCCGCCAAAACCCAUGUAAGGAGCUGAGUAAAAGAUUGAAGACAACUAUUCUCUGGAGAAAAAUAAAAUGGAAAUUGUACUUGA
This is an RNA transcript of Cebus imitator (Panamanian white-faced capuchin), 443 nucleotides long. It is a transcript of the gene named 40S ribosomal protein S26-like, with no coding region annotated. The transcript has a single exon. The record is from RefSeq and is a predicted model, not a curated record. NCBI's taxonomy places the organism in Eukaryota, Metazoa, Chordata, Mammalia, Primates, Cebidae.